CCUACGGGCGGCAGCAGUGGGGGAUAUUGCACAAUGGGGGGAACCCUGAUGCAGCGACGCCGCGUGGGUGAAGAAGCGCCUCGGCGCGUAAAGCCCUGUCAGCAGGGAAGAAAAUGACGGUACCUGAAGAAGAAGCCCCGGCUAACUACGUGCCAGCAGCCGCGGUAAUACGUAGGGGGCAAGCGUUAUCCGGAUUUACUGGGUGUAAAGGGGGCGCAGACGGCGAUGCAAGCCAGGAGUGAAAGCCCGGGGGCCAACCCCGGGACUGCUCUUGGAACUGCGUGGCUGGAGUGCAGGAGGGGCAGGCGGAAUUCCUGGUGUAGCGGUGAAAUGCGUAGAUAUCAGGAGGAACACCGGUGGCGAAGGCGGCCUGCUGGACUGCAACUGACGUUGAGACCCGAAAGCGUGGGGAGCAAACAGGAUUAGAUACCCCUGUAGUC
RNAcentral lists this ribosomal RNA (440 nucleotides) under uncultured bacterium. RNAcentral's name for it is "partial 16S ribosomal RNA". It matches the Rfam family "Bacterial small subunit ribosomal RNA", at positions 338 to 795 of the family's 1533-position model. The record is from RNAcentral.